Molecule: non-coding RNA, 74 nt
Organism: Podarcis lilfordi (Lilford's wall lizard)
Lineage: Eukaryota; Metazoa; Chordata; Lepidosauria; Squamata; Lacertidae
Source: the annotation of a GenBank genome assembly
GGAAAGCUGUAGCUCAGUGCUAGGACACAUGCUUUGCAUGCAAAAUGUCCUAGGUUCAAUCCCUAGCAUCUCCA